CAGCAGCCGCGGUAAUACGUAGGUGGCAAGCGUUGUCCGGAAUUAUUGGGCGUAAAGCGCGCGCAGGUGGUUUAAUAAGUCUGAUGUGAAAGCCCACGGCUCAACCGUGGAGGGUCACUGGAAACUGUUAAACUUGAGUGCAGGAGAGAAAAGUGGAAUUCCUAGUGUAGCGGUGAAAUGCGUAGAGAUUAGGAGGAACACCAGUGGCGAAGGCGGCUUUUUGGCCUGUAACUGACACUGAGGCGCGAAAGCGUGGGGAGCAAACAGGAUUAGAUACCCCCGUAGUCCCUGUCUCUUAUAC
This 301-nucleotide ribosomal RNA is filed under the name uncultured bacterium. RNAcentral's name for it is "partial 16S ribosomal RNA". It matches the Rfam family "Bacterial small subunit ribosomal RNA", at positions 509 to 807 of the family's 1533-position model. The record is from RNAcentral.